UACGGAGGGUGCAAGCGUUAUCCGGAUUUACUGGGUUUAAAGGGUGCGUAGGCGGGCAAUUAAGUCUGUGGUGAAAUCCCCGAGCUCAACUCGGGAACUGCCAUGGAUACUAUUUGUCUUGAAUACCGUGGAGGUGAGCGGAAUAUGGCAUGUAGCGGUGAAAUGCUUAGAUAUGCCAUGGAACACCGAUUGCGAAGGCAGCUCACUACACGGUGAUUGACGCUGAUGCACGAAAGCGUGGGUAGCGAACAGG
RNAcentral lists this ribosomal RNA (253 nucleotides) under uncultured Flavihumibacter sp. RNAcentral's name for it is "partial 16S ribosomal RNA". It matches the Rfam family "Bacterial small subunit ribosomal RNA", at positions 524 to 776 of the family's 1533-position model. Lineage: Bacteria; Pseudomonadati; Bacteroidota; Chitinophagia; Chitinophagales; Chitinophagaceae. The record is from RNAcentral.